This 253-nucleotide ribosomal RNA is filed under the name uncultured bacterium. RNAcentral's name for it is "partial 16S ribosomal RNA". It matches the Rfam family "Bacterial small subunit ribosomal RNA", at positions 524 to 776 of the family's 1533-position model. The record is from RNAcentral.
GACAGAGGGUGCAAACGUUGUUCGGAAUUACUGGGCGUAAAGCGUGUGUAGGCGGCUAAGUAAGUCGGGCGUGAAAUCCCACGGCUCAACCGUGGAAGUGCACUCGAAACUGCGUAGCUAGAGUCCUGGAGAGGAAGGUGGAAUGCUUGGUGUAGCGGUGAAAUGCGUAGAUAUCAGGAGGAACACCGGUGGUGUAAACGGCUUUCUGGACCAUAACUGACGCUGAGGCACGAAAGCGUGGGUAGCAAACAGG